This 253-nucleotide ribosomal RNA is filed under the name uncultured bacterium. Its description in RNAcentral is "partial 16S ribosomal RNA". It matches the Rfam family "Bacterial small subunit ribosomal RNA", at positions 524 to 776 of the family's 1533-position model. The record is from RNAcentral.
UACGAAGGGGGCUAGCGUUGCUCGGAAUCACUGGGCGUAAAGCGCACGUAGGCGGCUUUUUAAGUCAGUGGUGAAAGCCUCCAGCUUAACUGGAGAACAGCCAUUGAUACUGAAGAGCUUGAGUACAGACGAGGUAGGCGGAAUUUAUGGUGUAGCGGUGAAAUGCAUAGAUACCAUAAAGAACUCCUAUUGCGAAGGCAGCUUACUAGGCUGUAACUGACGCUGAGGCACGAAAGCGUGGGGAUCAAACAGG